CUAUCCUCCAUUUUUACCUUUGAUCCGCCGCCCUGAUUGCCGUUGGAAUCCUUCACUGCCGGCUGCGACCCACCGCUACCACCACCUCCGGUAAGCCCUCCUUCCUUCCCUUCUUUUGGGCCUUGGAUGCUGCCACUAGACAGCAAGGGGCAGCACUCCUUUUUUUUCCUUCUCUUGGCUCCCCUGUGCACGGCCAAACCGCCGCCUCUAGCCGCCUGCACUUCGGCCGCGCC
Molecule: long non-coding RNA, 233 nt
Filed under: Elaeis guineensis (African oil palm)
Lineage: Eukaryota; Viridiplantae; Streptophyta; Magnoliopsida; Arecales; Arecaceae
Description: long non-coding RNA (EGUI_LNC054518)
Source: RNAcentral